AUGCCUGUUAGUUAUUCCACACUUAGAGAUUCUGAUUGGGAGUUCAUAGUGGCUAAAUACCUUAAAAGAUUCGAGGCAUGGAUCGGUAAUGCUGCAUCCAUGGGGGGCAGACUAACUUUGUUGGACUCAAUUGUCACCCAAAUAUCCUUAUAUCAUAUGUCUAUGUGGCUUAUGAGCAAAACCUUCAUUGAAAACUUGAUAAACAUAGAAGGAAAUUCUUUUGGCAAGGUUGUAACAAGAAAAGGAGGUAUCAUUUGGUCAAAUGGGGCAGAAUAUGUAGAUCUCGAGAUAAAGGUGGCCUGGGAGUUAAAGAUCUUCCUAAACAAAACAUUAGUUUGA
RNAcentral lists this ribosomal RNA (339 nucleotides) under Triticum aestivum (bread wheat). RNAcentral describes it as "partial small subunit ribosomal RNA". Lineage: Eukaryota; Viridiplantae; Streptophyta; Magnoliopsida; Poales; Poaceae. The record is from RNAcentral.